CAGUCGCCACGGUAAUACGUAGGUCCCGAGCGUUGUCCGGAUUUAUUGGGCGUAAAGGGCUCGCAGGCGGUUUCUUAAGUCUGAUGUGAAAGCCCCCGGCUCAACCGGGGAGGGUCAUUGGAAACUGGAAAACUUUAGUGCAGAAGAGGAGAGUGGAAUUCCACGUGUAGCGGUGAAAUGCGUAGAGAUGUGGAGGAACACCAGUGGCGAAGGCGACUCUCUGGUCUGUAACUGACGCUGAGGAGCGAAAGCGUGGGGAGCGAACAGGAUUAGAUACCCCAGUAGUCCCUGUCUCUUAUAC
Molecule: ribosomal RNA, 301 nt
Filed under: uncultured bacterium
Lineage: Bacteria
Description: partial 16S ribosomal RNA
Rfam family: Bacterial small subunit ribosomal RNA
Source: RNAcentral